GCCUCGCAGUGGCGUGCGCCUGUAACAAGCUACUGGGAGGCUGAGGCUGGCGGAUCGUUUGAGCUCAGGUCUUCUGGGCUGCAGUGGGCUAUUUCGAUCGGGUGUCCGCGCUAAGUUCGACAUCGAUUCUUAGGUGCUCCUGGGGAAAACUUCUACCAGGUCGUUCUCUUUUAGGGAUUUAGAAUCGGCCCAGGUCGGAAACGGAGCAGGUCAAAUCCCCGUGCCGCUCAAGUAGUGGGUUCGCGCCCGUGAAAGUCGCUGUAGUUCAGCCUGAAUAAUACAGCGGGACUCAGUCUUUC
The sequence is an unclassified non-coding RNA, 299 nucleotides long. It matches the Rfam family "Metazoan signal recognition particle RNA". Rfam says of the family: The signal recognition particle (SRP) is a universally conserved ribonucleoprotein. The record is from Ensembl.